UUUUUCGAACUGAGGAUUGAGGUUCUCUAUUUGCCUCUCUCUUCCAGCGUCCUUCUUCCUUCUUUCUUCUUGGUCCAUAGUUAAUCUUUGGCGCUCAGAUUAUUUGCUUCUUUUUUUUUCUUCUUUUGUUGUCAUUUUUCUUCUUUCUCUAUCUUUUACUUCCUCUUCUCUCCUCCAGUCGCUCUCACCCUCAAAAACCAGAUCGAAAAACAUACCAAACACCAAACAACCAAAUCUGAAUCGUACCUUCGCCAUCCUUUUCGUCAUCCUUCUCUCUCAGCCUCUCACAUCCUGCUUCAUUUCCUAUGAAACCAAUCUUGGCCCAAAAUCCGUAAUACCCAAAUCAAAAAACCUAACACCUCAGCCCCAAAUACCUCCUCCAAUCUCACGUGCUCUCUCGACUUCUUGCUAAUGCUUAGCAAUCAGUUGCUUGUCACACUCGAUUUCUGUUUAGCAAUCGAAAUCUUGUCGCUCGUUAGGUUGCAGAGGUCUUCGUUUUGAGUUAUAUUUGCAGGUCUCCCGUUUGUUGCAUUUGCGUUUGGGUCUUAAAGGACAGUGACUAAGAAGAAGUUGAGGCAGAAGAUAUUGAACCUGACAAGUACAUUUAGAUAUGGCACUUCCAGUGUUUAUUUUUGAUCGAAUGACGUACUUCAGUUUAUUUCUGACCCACGUCUUCUCGAUUACACAAUUAAGUUUCAGAAUUACUAUAUUGUACCCUAGCUAGCCCAGAGGUUUUGGAGUCGAGGAACCGGGGUAGGCCACCAUGGGAGCAAAGACGGGUAGAUGAAUUCGUAUAAACGAUGGCGUAUACCCUGUGUGACUAUCUCUAACAUUCCUCCACGAAGGUUGCACGUGAAAGAAGUCUCCAAGGUGAGAGAAAUGCACUAUAUCCUCAUUGUUUGGGUGGAAACUUCGCACCCAAACCUUGUCCGGGUUGAGCUUCUUAUGUUUGCAGGUUAUAGUAACAGGGUCGACUGACCAUUUGAAUUUGCCUUCCUUGUCCUUCCUUGACCAUUUGAGACUGUAGCAACGUUUGGACUUUGGACACACACUUGAAUCACAAAAUGAACUAAUUGCAGGGAAGCCGACAGAGGA
This is a long non-coding RNA of Rosa rugosa (rugosa rose), 1095 nucleotides long. RefSeq lists it as uncharacterized. The transcript is spliced from 3 exons. NCBI's taxonomy places the organism in Eukaryota, Viridiplantae, Streptophyta, Magnoliopsida, Rosales, Rosaceae. The record is from RefSeq and is a predicted model, not a curated record.